This 332-nucleotide ribosomal RNA is filed under the name uncultured bacterium. RNAcentral describes it as "bacterial SSU rRNA". It matches the Rfam family "Bacterial small subunit ribosomal RNA", at positions 568 to 898 of the family's 1533-position model. The record is from RNAcentral.
CGUGUAGGCGGGAAUAUAAGUCAGAUGUGAAAUACCGAGGCUUAACUUCGGGGCUGCAUCUGAAACUAUGUUUCUUGAGUGUCGGAGAGGAAAGUGGAAUUCCCAGUGUAGCGGUGAAAUGCGUAGAUAUUGGGAGGAACACCAGUGGCGAAGGCGACUUUCUGGACGAUGACUGACGCUGAGGCGCGAAAGCGUGGGGAGCAAACAGGAUUAGAUACCCUGGUAGUCCACGCUGUAAACGAUGGAUACUAGGUGUAGGAGGUAUCGACCCCUUCUGUGCCGCAGUUAACACAAUAAGUAUCCCACCUGGGGAGUACGGCCGCAAGGUUGAA